This 163-nucleotide ribosomal RNA is filed under the name uncultured bacterium. RNAcentral describes it as "partial 16S ribosomal RNA". It matches the Rfam family "Bacterial small subunit ribosomal RNA", at positions 1340 to 1500 of the family's 1533-position model. The record is from RNAcentral.
AAUGGCAGGUCAGCAUACUGCCGUGAAUACGUUCCCGGGCCUUGUACACACCGCCCGUCACACCAUGAGAGUUGGGGAUACCCGAAGCCUGUGAGCUAACUAUUUAUAGGAGCAGCAGUCGAAGGUAGAAUCAAUGAUUGGGGUGAAGUCGUAACAAGGUAAC